Molecule: microRNA precursor, 68 nt
Filed under: Lepisosteus oculatus (spotted gar)
Lineage: Eukaryota; Metazoa; Chordata; Actinopteri; Semionotiformes; Lepisosteidae
Source: RNAcentral
AGCUGGUGUUGUGAAUCAGGCCGAUGCCACACGCCUGCUCUAACCCGGCUAUUUCACAACACCAGGGU